AGAGCGAACGCUGGCGGCAGGCCUAACACAUGCAAGUCGAGCGCCCGUAGCAAUACGGGAGCGGCAGACGGGAUAGUAACACGUGGGAACGCGCCCUUCGGUUCGGAAUAACUCAGGGAAACUUGAGCUAAUACCGGAUACGCCCUUACGGGGAAAGAUUUAUUGCCGAAGGAACGGCCCGCGUCCGAUUAGCUAGUUGGUGAGGUAAUGGCUCACCAAGGCGACGAUCGGUAGCUGGU
RNAcentral lists this ribosomal RNA (239 nucleotides) under uncultured bacterium. RNAcentral describes it as "partial small subunit ribosomal RNA". It matches the Rfam family "Bacterial small subunit ribosomal RNA", at positions 26 to 291 of the family's 1533-position model. The record is from RNAcentral.